Long non-coding RNA from Gadus chalcogrammus (walleye pollock), 301 nucleotides. RefSeq lists it as uncharacterized. The transcript has 3 exons. The record is from RefSeq and is a predicted model, not a curated record. Lineage: Eukaryota; Metazoa; Chordata; Actinopteri; Gadiformes; Gadidae.
GGUUAAUAGCAGGGGUAGCGCUGGGUACCGCGGUCCUGUUGAUCGUGGGCCUGGUUCUCCUCAUUCGCUGGCACAGAAGGAGAGGAAACAAGAGGCCAAAGGACCCCACAACCAUUGUACACACCAUACCUAACCAUGAUCCAACUACUACAAGGUUGAACUUGGGAAAGUUCCCUGGGUCUUCAAUAUCAUGAACAGAUGAAGAUUGGGAUAAACAAUUAGCAGAUGCACAUAAUAUGUUGGGGUCACAAAAUGGACACCACCACUGGUGACACCAGCUGAUGAGUAACUGGGUUCCUGU